AAUAGAUACCCGGGUAGUCCACGCCGUAAACGAUGUCGACUUGGAGGUUGUGCCCUUGAGGCGUGGCUUCCGGAGCUAACGCGUUAAGUCGACCGCCUGGGGAGUACGGCCGCAAGGUUAAAACUCAAAUGAAUUGACGGGGGCCCGCACAAGCGGUGGAGCAUGUGGUUUAAUUCGAUGCAACGCGAAGAACCUUACCUACUCUUGACAUCCAGAGAACUUAGCAGAGAUGCUUGGUGCCUUCGGGAACUCUGAGACAGGUGCUGCAUGGCUGUCGUCAGCUCGUGUUGUGAAAUGUUGGGUUAAGUCCCGCAACGAGCGCAACCCUUAUCCUUUGUUGCCAGCGGUUAGGCCGGGAACUCAAAGGAGACUGCCAGUGAUAAACUGGAGGAAGGUGGGGAUGACGUCAAGUCAUCAUGGCCCUUACGAGUAGGGCUACACACGUGCUACAAUGGCAUAUACAAAGAGAAGCGACCUCGCGAGGGCAAGCGGACCUCAUAAAGUAUGUCGUAGUCCGGA
Molecule: ribosomal RNA, 519 nt
Filed under: uncultured bacterium
Lineage: Bacteria
Description: bacterial SSU rRNA
Rfam family: Bacterial small subunit ribosomal RNA
Source: RNAcentral